Molecule: long non-coding RNA, 656 nt
Organism: Eptesicus fuscus (big brown bat)
Lineage: Eukaryota; Metazoa; Chordata; Mammalia; Chiroptera; Vespertilionidae
Exons: 4
Source: RefSeq, a predicted model, not a curated record
GCCUUCCAUAAGCCAGGAGCUUUGCUAGGAAUAAUUACUCUCAAAUACCAUCACCAAUGAUCACAAAAUCAAAUGCUCAUGGGCCAGACAGGAAGAAAAGUAAUGCUUAUAUGUCUCUCCACGACCGAGGCUGCCACUGCUAAUGCAGUUGAGUGAACUUUUAUUCUGGAGAGCCUUAUCGUCCUGAGCCAGUUUCCUCUCCUCCCUGACACAUUCAGUGACGCUGCACUCCAGUGUUUGUUAGAGCACAGAUGUUUCCGUGGUGAUGAUCAGUGACGUCACCAGCACCGGAAUGUGUAUCAUCAAAUUUAUCCAGACAGAGCUGCAAAGAAGAGUGGGAAUUCCAUUCCCAUUUGAACUUCAUGAAGAUUGACUCAGCUUUCUCAACAAUUACUCGAUGCCAGCUUUUAAAAUGUUCCUGCCCUGAUCAAAAGCUUUCUGGUGUUUCCCAUUAGCCUACACGAUCAAGUCCACCUCAUGAGUCUGGCCAAUUCUGCCUUCCAACCUCAUUCCCCAGUUCUCCCCAACUGCAGGCAGGACUAGGCAGCAGAGUGUGCAAUGAAUAAACGUGAGAGAGAAGAAGACCAGAAGUUGCAGGAGAAGGAGGAGGAAGAUGGGGAAGAAGAAAACGAAGAACUCAAUGACAGACUCUCCAU